RNA transcript from Dreissena polymorpha, 1035 nucleotides. RefSeq lists it as uncharacterized. The transcript has 3 exons. The record is from RefSeq and is a predicted model, not a curated record. Lineage: Eukaryota; Metazoa; Mollusca; Bivalvia; Myida; Dreissenidae.
AAUACUUGACACUCGCUGAAAGGUUGCAAAGAUACGACAAUUACUGGAAUGGACGUUGGAUUGAAGCAUUCAUUAUCAUUCAAUGUGAAACUUUUUGUAAAGAAGAUCACCAUUAAAUUACUGGAGUAAAUAUGUGACAUUUUGAUUACGCACUUGACUGCCUCUAUUCAGAUUACUGGAACUUACUUUCGAUUAGGAUUAAAGCCGUCUGCGAAAAUACACAUAACAUAUACGCUUAACUCAUGGAAAUGCGAAUCAAUUAAAUUUUCAAACUGCUACCGAGCGCCAACGCGGGCAUAUACGACGACGAUGACCUUGCCAGCUACCUGUCUCAGUCACAGGGUGACGACAUCCGGUAUCAGGGGGACUUCCGGGACAAGCGUGGCAUGUGCCGCCCGGGAUUCACCUACCAGGCCAUACUGAGGGACUGCGUUCCCUCCCUCGGGGCGCUUCGAGACAGGAAUCGUACCGGUAGAGGCAGACGUGGUCUGAUGUCAUGGUAUAGGUAACCUACUGUUCUGACGUCAUUGUUCAAGUAGACAUCCGGUGCAAGAAGGUCACCACGUGGUCAUCAUGAUUGUGUUUGUAUCACGUGUGUAUCUCGUGCAGUUAUUAAGCACUUACAUAAUGUGACCAUAUUGAAUCGAACAUCGACAUGUAAUUGAUUUUUUAUCGUUCGUUCCUUUAGUGCCUGUUUUUGAAACAUGCUUACUUUUGAGGAACAACAACUUUUCAUCAGGUUGUGAAUUUAAUAAGAAUUGUCGAACGUUAUUAAUUGAAUCUGCUUUAGUUUUAGUCACAUAUGAUAAAAAUAGGUAUUCACCCUUUUCUCGAUCGCGUUUUAGCUAAUGUUUUAGCUAGUGCAUGUCUUUUAAAUGUGAAGAAACACGAGCAGCUUUCUCUUUAUUUGUAGACUACACUCGUUGACACUCUGACUUAUGUAUCUUAUUACAUAUUUCACGAACCCACACAUGCAACUGUGUUUUUACAUACGUAUAAAUACACGUGUACACUUAAAGUAAUCGACAUUAAAUA